RNAcentral lists this unclassified non-coding RNA (380 nucleotides) under Hevea brasiliensis (rubber tree). Lineage: Eukaryota; Viridiplantae; Streptophyta; Magnoliopsida; Malpighiales; Euphorbiaceae. The record is from RNAcentral.
UGGGAUGCCAUAUAUAUCUUGUAUUGAUGUGGGGCAUUUUGGCAUGUUCCAGCAGAAGUGGCACUUAGGCACUGACCAGUGGACACCCUGGGUGUGUACCAGCUCCCAAACACAUGCCCAGGGCCUGUGAUAUUCUAUCCCGGCAGUGGGAAAUUGAUGGAAAAUUGACGUUUUUUCAGUUCAAAACUCUUCCAAGAGCUGUCCUAUCUCAGAUACUUCCUAUUCCAGCAAAGAUGUUAAUUUAGAUUUAGUUUUUUUGUGUUUCCUAUUUUAUUUAGUAGUUCUAAACUUCUAAAUUCCUAUUUCAACUAGGAUUAAUUUUAUUCUUAUUUUAUCUAGAUUUACUGCAAUAUUUUGGUUUAUCUAAACUUCCUAGAAAG